This 27-nucleotide small RNA is filed under the name Bombyx mori (domestic silkworm). RNAcentral's name for it is "ovarian small RNA-29968". Lineage: Eukaryota; Metazoa; Arthropoda; Insecta; Lepidoptera; Bombycidae. The record is from RNAcentral.
UCUGCAAUUACUGUGGCGGUCCGCAUC